This 545-nucleotide ribosomal RNA is filed under the name uncultured bacterium. Its description in RNAcentral is "bacterial SSU rRNA". It matches the Rfam family "Bacterial small subunit ribosomal RNA", at positions 60 to 567 of the family's 1533-position model. The record is from RNAcentral.
AGUCGAACGGAAGUCGUUAUGAUGAUUUCAACACUGACAGAGAACUUGUUCCAAAGAAAGUAGAGAUUGACUUAUAACAAUGGCUUUAGUGGCGGACUGGUGAGUAACACGUGAGCAACCUGCCUAUCAGAGGGGAAUAACAGUGAGAAAUCAUUGCUAAUACCGCAUAUGCCAUAAAUAUCACAUGAUGAAAGUGGGAAAGGAGUAAUCCGCUGAUAGAUGGGCUCGCGUCUGAUUAGAUAGUUGGUGGGGUAACGGCCUACCAAGUCGACGAUCAGUAGCCGGACUGAGAGGUUGAACGGCCACAUUGGGACUGAGAUACGGCCCAGACUCCUACGGGAGGCAGCAGUCGGGAAUAUUGCGCAAUGGAGGAAACUCUGACGCAGUGACGCCGCGUAUAGGAAGAAGGUUUUCGGAUUGUAAACUAUUGUCGUUAGGGAAGAUACAAGACAGUACCUAAGGAGGAAGCUCCGGCUAACUACGUGCCAGCAGCCGCGGUAAUACGUAGGGAGCAAGCGUUAUCCGGAUUUAUUGGGUGUAAAGGG